AUUGAACGCUGGCGGCAGGCCUAACACAUGCAAGUCGAACGGUAACAGGAAGAAGCUUGCUUCUUUGCUGACGAGUGGCGGACGGGUGAGUAAUGUCUGGGAAACUGCCUGAUGGAGGGGGAUAACUACUGGAAACGGUAGCUAAUACCGCAUAACGUCGCAAGACCAAAGAGGGGGACCUUCGGGCCUCUUGCCAUCGGAUGUGCCCAGAUGGGAUUAGCUAGUAGGUGGGGUAACGGCUCACCUAGGCGACGAUCCCUAGCUGGUCUGAGAGGAUGACCAGCCACACUGGAACUGAGACACGGUCCAGACUCCUACGGGAGGCAGCAGUGGGGAAUAUUGCACAAUGGGCGCAAGCCUGAUGCAGCCAUGCCGCGUGUAUGAAGAAGGCCUUCGGGUUGUAAAGUACUUUCAGCGGGGAGGAAGGGAGUAAAGUUAAUACCUUUACUCAUUGACGUUACCCGCAGAAGAGGCACCGGCUAACUCCGUG
RNAcentral lists this ribosomal RNA (490 nucleotides) under uncultured bacterium. RNAcentral's name for it is "partial 16S ribosomal RNA". It matches the Rfam family "Bacterial small subunit ribosomal RNA", at positions 30 to 507 of the family's 1533-position model. The record is from RNAcentral.